CUAAGAAUAUUCCGCAAUGGACGGAAGUCUGACGGAGCGACGCCGCGUGGAUGACGAAGGCCGAAAGGUUGUAAAGUUCUUUUGCUGGGGAAGAAUAACCGCAGGAGGGAAUGCCUGUGGGAUGACAAGAACCGGCGAAUAAGCCCCGGCCAACUACGUGCCAGCAGCCGCGGUAACACGUAGGGGGCGAGCGUUGUUCGGAAUUACUGGGCGUAAAGGGCAUGUAGGCGGCUUGGAAAGCCUGGCGUGAAAGUCUGCAGCUUAACUGCAGGGGUGCGCGGGGAACUGCUGAGCUUGAGUGACGGAGAGGGAGCUGGAAUUCCUGGUGUGGGGGUGAAAUCUGUAGAUAUCAGGAAGAACACCGAUGGCGAAGGCAAGCUCCUGGCCGAUGACUGACGCUGAGGUGCGAAAGUGUGGGGAUCAAACA
RNAcentral lists this ribosomal RNA (427 nucleotides) under uncultured bacterium. Its description in RNAcentral is "bacterial SSU rRNA". It matches the Rfam family "Bacterial small subunit ribosomal RNA", at positions 355 to 774 of the family's 1533-position model. The record is from RNAcentral.